AGACCAGUAGGUACCCGUACCGCAAACCGACACAGGUAGGCGAGGAGAGAAUCCUAAGACGAGCGGGAGAAGCAUUGUUAAGGAACUCGGCAAAAUGACUCCGUAACUUCGGGAUAAGGAGUGCCUAGUAAAAUAGGUCGCAGUGAAUAGGCCCAAGCGACUGUUUAGCAAAAACACAGGUCUGUGCGAAAUCGAGAGAUGAAGUAUACGGGCUGACGCCUGCCCAGUGCUGGAAGGUUAAGGGGAACUGUUAGCGUAAGGCGAAGCAGGGAACUUAAGCCCCAGUGAACGGCGGCCGUAACUAUAACGGUCCUAAGGUAGCGAAAUUCCUUGUCGGGUAAGUUCCGACCCGCACGAAUGGCGUAACGACUUGGGCACUGUCUCAACAAUGUACCCGGCGAAAUUGUAGUAUGAGUGAAGAUGCUCAUUACCCGCGAUAGGACGGAAAGACCCCGUAGAGCUUUACUGCAACUUGGCAUUGGAUUUUGGUAUUGGAUGUACAGGAUAGGUGGGAGACUGAGAAGCGUUGACGCCAGUUGACGCAGAGUCACUGUUGGGAUACCACCCUUCCAAUACUAGGGUUCUAACCCGAGGCCGUGAACCGGCUCGGGGACAGUACCAGGUGGGCAGUUUGACUGGGGCGGUCGCCUCCGAAAGAGUAACGGAGGCGCCCAAAGGUUUCCUCAGAAUGGUCGGAAAUCAUUCAUUAGAGUGCAAAUGCAUAAGGGAGCUUGACUGCGAGAGAGACAUCUCGAGCAGGGACGAAAGUCGGGAUUAGUGAUCCGGCGGUAUGAGAGUGGAAUUGCCGUCGCUCAACGGAUAAAAGCUACCUCGGGGAUAACAGGCUUAUCUCCCCCAAGAGUCCACAUCGACGGGGAGGUUUGGCACCUCGAUGUCGGCUCGUCGCAUCCUGGGGCUGAAGCAGGUCCCAAGGGUUUGGCUGUUCGCCAAUUAAAGCGGCACGCGAGCUGGGUUCAGAACGUCGUGAGACAGUUCGGUCCCUAUCCAUCGUGGGCGCAGGAAGUUUGAGUGGAGCUGUCCUUAGUACGAGAGGACCGGGAUGGACGUACCAAUGGUGUACCAGUUGUUCUGCCAAGAGCAUCGCUGGGUAGCUAUGUACGGACGGGAUAAACGCUGAAGGCAUCUAAGCGUGAAGCCCCCCACAAGAUAAGACUUCCCAUCCUUUAUGGAGUAAGGCCCCUUGUAGACUACAAGGUUGAUAGGCUGGAGGUGUAAGUGCAGCAAUGUAUUAAGCUGACCAGUACUAAUAGGCCGAGGGCUUGAUCAA
This 1288-nucleotide ribosomal RNA is filed under the name Ruminococcus sp. A254.MGS-254. Its description in RNAcentral is "bacterial LSU rRNA". It matches the Rfam family "Bacterial large subunit ribosomal RNA", at positions 1628 to 2925 of the family's 2925-position model. The record is from RNAcentral. Lineage: Bacteria; Bacillati; Bacillota; Clostridia; Eubacteriales; Oscillospiraceae.